ACCUGGGAUAGCUCAGUGGUUAGCGCAUGAGACUUAGGGUCGUGGGUUCGACCCCCACGUUGGGCA
Molecule: non-coding RNA, 66 nt
Organism: Podarcis lilfordi (Lilford's wall lizard)
Lineage: Eukaryota; Metazoa; Chordata; Lepidosauria; Squamata; Lacertidae
Source: the annotation of a GenBank genome assembly